GGAAUUGUUCGCAAUGGGCGCAAGCCUGACGACGCAAUGCCGCGUGGAGGAUGAAGACCUUCGGGUCGUAAACUCCUUUCGACCGAGAUGAACGCCCGCCGACCCAAUACGUCGGCGGGGUGACAGUAUCGACGGAAGCAGCCCCGGCUACCUCCGUGCCAGCAGCCGCGGUAAUACGGGGGGGGCGAGCGUUGUUCGGAAUUACUGGGCGUAAAGGGUUCGUAGGUGGCCUGCUAAGUCAGAUGUGAAAUCCCUCGGCUCAACUGAGGAACUGCAUCUGAGACUGGAAGGCUUGAGUGCAGGAGAGGAACGCGGAAUUCCAGGUGUAGCGGUGAAAUGCGUAGAUAUCUGGAGGAACACCGGUGGCGAAGGCGGCGUUCUGGACUGCAACUGACACUGAGGAACGAAAGCCAGGGGAGCAAACG
RNAcentral lists this ribosomal RNA (425 nucleotides) under uncultured bacterium. RNAcentral describes it as "bacterial SSU rRNA". It matches the Rfam family "Bacterial small subunit ribosomal RNA", at positions 358 to 774 of the family's 1533-position model. The record is from RNAcentral.